UACGUAGGGGGCAAGCGUUGUCCGGAUUUAUUGGGCGUAAAGAGCGUGUAGGCGGCCAUGCAGGUCCGUUGUGAAAACUCGAGGCUCAACCUCGAGACGUCGAUGGAAACCUCAUGGCUAGAGUCCGGAAGAGGAGAGCGGAAUUCCUGGUGUAGCGGUGAAAUGCGCAGAUAUCAGGAAGAACACCCGUGGCGAAGGCGGCUCUCUGGGCCGGUACUGACGCUGAGACGCGAAAGCGUGGGGAGCGAACAGG
RNAcentral lists this ribosomal RNA (253 nucleotides) under uncultured bacterium. Its description in RNAcentral is "partial 16S ribosomal RNA". It matches the Rfam family "Bacterial small subunit ribosomal RNA", at positions 524 to 776 of the family's 1533-position model. The record is from RNAcentral.